Daphnia pulex (common water flea) is the source of this 1313-nucleotide long non-coding RNA. RefSeq lists it as uncharacterized. Lineage: Eukaryota; Metazoa; Arthropoda; Branchiopoda; Diplostraca; Daphniidae. The record is from RefSeq and is a predicted model, not a curated record. The transcript is spliced from 4 exons.
AGACUUGUCACUGUUGAUCUCGGAUCUGGAACGGGUUUUUCUUUAUUAAAGAUUCUAACACAAUUUUAUUUUUAAAUUAGUCGUCAAGCCCAGCCGGUUAUAAUGCUGAACAGAGAAUAUUUUAUAUUCACAGUUCACACUUCACACAGUCAAACUUUUGGCGCUUUGGCUAAUUGGCUCUUAGCAGGGAUGCCAGAUGCGGACGUUUUUAAUUGUAAAACUGAUAAUGGCAAUGUUGCGCCUUACUUUCAAGAUGGCUGCUGACAGUCUGACAGCCUCGACGAACUAAGUCAACUCAACUGAUUUUCCCUGACAUUAUUCGUCAUAAAAAUGAUAAAAUAGCCUACAAUUUAAACUUGCCAAUUCCAUCUGAUCAUGUGGCCUGAAACGGCUGUUUCCCAAAAUGUCGUCUCUUGCUGCACGUACCAGCUGUGCGUUUCGUCACAUGUAGAAAUACUUCACAACAGUAACAGUGAUCAUGUUGGUGUAACCCUAAGCAUGGUGAAGUCUGAGUUUCUUCAUGGCAUUCCAAUGUGCUGUGCAGUGUGAUAUGUUGCAGCCAGCUGUCGAAAGGUGUUCCUCUUGCAGUCCUGUACCUGUACCGUCUGUAGCUUUCGUCACAUGCAGAAACACUUCCGAACUAUUCAAAUAGGAUUAACAGCCACUUGAGGUCUGAGCCUCUUUGUUGCAGUCCAAUUUGUACAUGAAUUUUGUGCAGCCAGCUAGUGAAUGGUGUGGUGAGCUGUUGCAUGCAGACUGUGGUGCUGGUGUCGGUCAUUCGAGUUAUGCUGUUGCUGUUCCUUGGUGCCGGACUGCUGGUGUUGUGCACAAAAGUUGCAUCCAGUUUUAAUUGUUAUUUGUGUCUAUGCAGUUAACCGUUUUUAUGUUGAAAAGGAACAGAAAAGUUCCUUGGUGUUAAUCAUUAAUUGCUAUUUGCGUCUAUGAAGUUAACCGUUUAUCUGUUGAGAAUGAAAAAAAUAGUAAUACGGGGAAUUUUUACGUCGAACAAAUAAUAAACAUGCCUCCGCGAUUGGGAAACCAGCGAGGAGGAGAUUUGGGGGGGGGGGGGUGUAAUUGAUUUUCAUUAAGUCGUGGUUUGUUUUAAUAAGGUAGAAAUAAAAUCCUUUGUCUCUCACAUCCAUAUACCUACCUAUAUAACCACAUCUAUUUCUCAAACCCCAUAACUUCCACCAACAUCCAUUCCUUAAAUCCUAUAACUCCCACCAACAUCUCCCCCAAAACUCCCCAUCCAUUUCCCCAUAAAUAACUGUAAUAUGUAACUAUUAUUAUUGAAUAAAUAAACCAACUAUAUA